Molecule: non-coding RNA, 72 nt
Organism: Chloroflexi bacterium GWC2_70_10
Lineage: Bacteria; Bacillati; Chloroflexota
Source: Rfam
CGCGGGGUGGUGGAGUGGUACCACACCGGGCUCAUAACCCGGGGAUCGUGCGUUCGAAUCGCACCCCCGCAA